UACGAAGGGGGCUAGCGUUGUUCGGAAUCACUGGGCGUAAAGCGCACGUAGGCGGAUCUUUAAGUCAGGGGUGAAAUCCCGGGGCUCAACCCCGGAACUGCCUUUGAUACUGGGGAUCUCGAGUCCGGGAGAGGUGAGUGGAACUGCGAGUGUAGAGGUGAAAUUCGUAGAUAUUCGCAAGAACACCAGUGGCGAAGGCGGCUCACUGGCCCGGAACUGACGCUGAGGUG
Molecule: ribosomal RNA, 230 nt
Filed under: uncultured microorganism
Description: partial 16S ribosomal RNA
Rfam family: Bacterial small subunit ribosomal RNA
Source: RNAcentral